This 497-nucleotide ribosomal RNA is filed under the name uncultured bacterium. RNAcentral describes it as "partial 16S ribosomal RNA". It matches the Rfam family "Bacterial small subunit ribosomal RNA", at positions 28 to 507 of the family's 1533-position model. The record is from RNAcentral.
GACGAACGCUGGCGGCGUGCCUAAUACAUGCAAGUAGAACGCUGAAGCGAGGAGCUUGCUCUUCUUGGAUGAGUUGCGAACGGGUGAGUAACGCGUAGGUAACCUGCCUGGUAGCGGGGGAUAACUAUUGGAAACGAUAGCUAAUACCGCAUAAAAUGGAUUAUCGCAUGAUAAUCCAUUGAAAGGUGCAAAUGCAUCACUACCAGAUGGACCUGCGUUGUAUUAGCUAGUUGGUGGGGUAACGGCUCACCAAGGCGACGAUACAUAGCCGACCUGAGAGGGUGAUCGGGCACACUGGGACUGAGGCACGGCCCAGACUCCUACGGGAGGCAGCAGGAGGGAAUCUUCGGCAAUGGACGGAAGUCUGACCGAGGAACGCCGCGGGAGGGAAGAAGGGUUUCGGAUCGUAAAGCUCUGUUGUAAGAGAAGAACGAGUGUGAGAGUGGAAAGUUCACACUGUGACGGUAUCUUACCAGAAAGGGACGGCUAACUACGUG